RNAcentral lists this ribosomal RNA (284 nucleotides) under uncultured bacterium. RNAcentral describes it as "partial 16S ribosomal RNA". It matches the Rfam family "Bacterial small subunit ribosomal RNA", at positions 333 to 632 of the family's 1533-position model. The record is from RNAcentral.
ACGCGCCUACGGGGGGCAGCAGUGGGGAAUAUUGGGCAAUGGGCGCAAGCCUGACCCAGCAACGCCGCGUGAAGGAAGAAGGCUUUCGGGUUGUAAACUUCUUUUCUCAGGGACGAAUAGAUGACGGUACCUGAGGAAUAAGCCACGGCUAACUACGUGCCAGCAGCCGCGGUAAUACGUAGGUGGCAAGCGUUAUCCGGAUUUACUGGGUGUAAAGGGCGUGUAGGCGGGGGCGCAAGUCAGAUGUGAAAAACACGGGCUCAACCUGUGGCCUGCAUUUGAAA